UACCCGUGAUUCCAUGUAUCGAG
This 23-nucleotide microRNA is filed under the name Caenorhabditis briggsae. Its description in RNAcentral is "cbr-miR-54b". Its record names the gene cbr-miR-54b. The record is from miRBase by way of RNAcentral. Lineage: Eukaryota; Metazoa; Nematoda; Chromadorea; Rhabditida; Rhabditidae.